This 957-nucleotide non-coding RNA is filed under the name Sturnira lilium (little yellow-shouldered bat). RNAcentral describes it as "partial 12S ribosomal RNA". It matches the Rfam family "Bacterial small subunit ribosomal RNA". Lineage: Eukaryota; Metazoa; Chordata; Mammalia; Chiroptera; Phyllostomidae. The record is from RNAcentral.
GGUUUGGUCCCAGCCUUUCUAUUGGCUGCUAGCAAAACUACACAUGCAAGUAUCCGCCCCCCAGUGAGAAUGCCCUGCAAAUCAUAAUAAUGAUAAAAAGGAGCAGGUAUCAAGCACACUACCCAAGUAGCUCAUAACACCUUGCUCAACCACACCCCCACGGGAAACAGCAGUGAUAAAAAUUAAGCAAUAAACGAAAGUUUGACUAAGUUAUGCAUACCAGGGUUGGUAAAUUUCGUGCCAGCCGCCGCGGUCAUACGAUUAACCCUAGUCAAUAGACAUACGGCGUAAAACGUGUUUAAGGAUAUCUCAUAUAAAGUCAAACCCUAGCUACGCUGUAAAAAGCCACAGCUACUGUAAGCCCAACUACGAAAGCGACUUUAAAUUACCUGAACACACGACAGCUAAGACCCAAACUGGGAUUAGAUACCCCACUAUGCUUAGCCCUAAACCCAAAGAAUCGACCCAACAAGAUUCUUCGCCAGAGUACUACUAGCCAAAGCUUAAAACUCAAAGGACUUGGCGGUGCUUCACAUCCCUCUAGAGGAGCCUGUUCUGUAACCGAUAAACCCCGAUAAACCUCACCAGCCCUUGCCAACCCAGCCUAUAUACCGCCAUCUUCAGCAAACCCUGAAAAGGAAACAUAGUAAGCUCAACCGCAGUACGCAAAAACGUUAGGUCAAGGUGUAGCCCAUGGGCUGGGAAGAAAUGGGCUACAUUUCCUACCAUUACUAGGACACUACACGAAAGUCCCUGUGAAACCAAGGACCAAAGGUGGAUUUAGCAGUAAACUAAGAAUAGAGCGCUUAGUUGAAUAAGGCCAUGAAGCACGCACACACCGCCCGUCACCCUCCUCAAAUACAAACGGUACUACCAAAUCCUAUUAUUACCCACCAAAACUACUAGAGGAGACAAGUCGUAACAAGGUAAGCGUACUGGAAAGUGCGCUUGGAUAAC